UACGAAGGGGGCUAGCGUUGUUCGGAUUUACUGGGCGUAAAGCGCACGUAGGCGGGUCGUUAAGUCCGCUGUAAAAGUCAAAGGCUCAACCUUUGAAUGCCGGUGGAUACUGUCGGGCUAGAGUCCGGAAGAGGCGAGUGGAAUUCCUGGUGUAGCGGUGGAAUGCGCAGAUAUCAGGAGGAACACCAAUAGCGAAGGCAGCUCGCUGGGACGGUACUGACGCUAAGGCGCGAAAGCGUGGGGAGCGAACAGG
RNAcentral lists this ribosomal RNA (253 nucleotides) under uncultured bacterium. RNAcentral's name for it is "partial 16S ribosomal RNA". It matches the Rfam family "Bacterial small subunit ribosomal RNA", at positions 524 to 776 of the family's 1533-position model. The record is from RNAcentral.